GACGAACGCUGGCGGCGUGCUUAACACAUGCAAGUCGAACGGAAAGGCCUUUUCGGAGGUACUCGAGUGGCGAACGGGUGAGUAACACGUGGGUGAUCUACCCUGCACUCUGGGAUAAGCCUGGGAAACUGGGUCUAAUACCGGAUAGGACCGCACUUUAGUGUGUGUGGUGGAAAGUUUUUUCGGUGUAGGAUGAGCCCGCGGCCUAUCAGCUUGUUGGUGGGGUAAUGGCCUACCAAGGCGGCGACGGGUAGCCGGACUGAGAGGUUGGUCGGCCACAUUGGGACUGAGAUACGGCCCAGACUCCUACGGGAGGCAGCAGUGGGGAAUAUUGCACAAUGGGCGCAAGCCUGAUGCAGCGACGCCGCGUGGGGGAUGACGGCCUUCGGGUUGUAAACUCCUUUCGCCAGGGACGAAGCGUUUUGUGACGGUACCUGGAGAAGAAGCACCGGCUAACUACGUG
Molecule: ribosomal RNA, 463 nt
Filed under: uncultured bacterium
Lineage: Bacteria
Description: partial 16S ribosomal RNA
Rfam family: Bacterial small subunit ribosomal RNA
Source: RNAcentral